Molecule: ribosomal RNA, 446 nt
Filed under: uncultured bacterium
Lineage: Bacteria
Description: partial 16S ribosomal RNA
Rfam family: Bacterial small subunit ribosomal RNA
Source: RNAcentral
CCUACGGGUGGCAGCAGUCGAGAAUCAUUCACAAUGGGGGAAACCCUGAUGGUGCGACGCCGCGUGGGGGAAUGAAGGUCUUCGGAUUGUAAACCCCUGUCGUGUGGGAGCAAAUUAAAAAGAGAGUACCCCAAGAGGAAGAGACGGCUAACCCUGUGCCAGCAGCUCCGGUAAUACAGAGGUGUCAAGCGUUGUUCGGAAUCACUGGGCGUAAGGGGUGCGUAGGCUGUUUUGUAAGUCGUGUGUGAAAGGCGCGGGCUCAACCCGCGGACGGCACAUGAUACUGGGAGACUAGAGUAAUGGAGGAGGAUCCGGAAUGCGCGGUGUAGCAGUGAAAUGCGUAGAUAUCGAGAGGAACACUCGUGGCGAAGGCGGGUUCCUGGACACUAACUGACGCUGAGGCACGAAGGCCAGGGGAGCGAAAGGGAUUAGAUACCCUUGUAGUC